CACCAGCCUGUAAACAUAACUAAAGCUACUAAUUGUCUUCUCUGUCCAAUUGGGUGUUCGAAUGUGCUCCGAUUCGAAAGAAAACCAUGGUCGUUGCAACGUUUCCCACAGUUGGUCCAAGGCAGGGAGAGAGAAACCGAAACCCUAAAAAUCGAAUCAGCGACGCAUAUUCUUGGGCGAGGUUUCGGUUCGAAUAAAGCUUGUUCCCC
RNAcentral lists this long non-coding RNA (209 nucleotides) under Vigna radiata. RNAcentral's name for it is "long non-coding RNA (VRAD_LNC009447)". Lineage: Eukaryota; Viridiplantae; Streptophyta; Magnoliopsida; Fabales; Fabaceae. The record is from RNAcentral.